Molecule: small RNA, 59 nt
Filed under: Arabidopsis thaliana (thale cress)
Lineage: Eukaryota; Viridiplantae; Streptophyta; Magnoliopsida; Brassicales; Brassicaceae
Description: ATSL005390
Source: RNAcentral
ACAAAAUAGCGAAUCUGGAGAAGAAGAAAAUGAAGAAGAACAAGAAGAAGAAGAAGAGG